Long non-coding RNA from Nilaparvata lugens (brown planthopper), 844 nucleotides. RefSeq lists it as uncharacterized. NCBI's taxonomy places the organism in Eukaryota, Metazoa, Arthropoda, Insecta, Hemiptera, Delphacidae. The transcript has 2 exons. The record is from RefSeq and is a predicted model, not a curated record.
UAACAGUUAACAAAAGAUUAAGUCAACUUUUAACUUGAUAUUUUCUGUUACUUUUAACUUAAUCUUUUGUUAACAUUGCAAAAGUAAGCCAUGCUGUUGAAAGGAUAAUUAACAAAAAGGUUGAAGCUGUAAAGGUUUGGUAUUGUUGAAGUGGGAAAAAGUAAGAAAUUUUGAACAUUUUUGUUAACAAAAGAUUAAGUCAACUUUUUUAACUUGAUAUUUUCUGUUACUUUUAACUUAAUCUUUUGUUAACAUUGCAAAAGUAAGCCAUGCUGUUGAAAGGAUAAUUAACAAAAAGGUUGAAGCUGAAAAAGUUUGGUAUUUGUUAAAGUGGGAAAAAGUAAGAAAUUUUGAACAUUUUUGUUAACAAAAGAUUAAGUCAACUUUUAACUUGAUAUUUUCUGUUACUUUUAACUUAAUCUUUUGUUAACAUUGCAAAAGUAAGCCAUGCUGUUGAAAGGAUAAUUAACAAAAAGGUUAAGCUGAAAAAGUAUGGUAUUUAUUGAAGUGGGUAAAAGUAAGAAAUUUUGAACAUUUUUGUCAACAAAAGAUUAAGUCAACUUUUAACUUGAUAUUUUCUGUUACUUUUAACUUAAUCUUUUGUUAACAUUGCAAAAGUAAGCCAUGCUGUUGAAAGGAUAAUUAACAAAAAGGUUAAGCUGAAAAAGUAUGGUAUUUAUUGAAGUGGGUAAAAGUAAGAAAUUUUGAACAUUUUUGUCAACAAAAGAUUAAGUCAACUUUUAACUUGAUAUUUUCUGUUACUUUUAACUUAAUCUUUUGUUAACAUUGCAAAAGUAAGCCAUGCUGUUGAAAGGAUAAUUAACAAAAAGGUUGAAGCUGUAAA